AGUGUGUUAAAUUUAAAUUCUGUUAGUGCUGCACUAAAAGAAUCGUUAGUAAUAAGCUCAUGCAGUGAAGGAACUGAACAAUUGUGGGAACGUAUUUGGGCCGAAAAUGGGUGUGGUACAGAAACCCAGAAAUAGCACAAGUUCAACAUGAAACAUGGAUUAGAUUUUAACGGGGGAUCAAAUCAAGUCUGCAAGUGUUACAGGAUGGAAGAGUGAGCCUACAGAUGAAAAAACACUGAGAGUGCAUUACCGUAAGGUGUGAGGUAAAUUAAUAGAGUAAUGCAAAUUGCCUAAUGAGAAGUACCAUCUUGUGUUAAUGAAUCCAGUACAACAGCAAUCCUUUAUAGUUCUGUCACAGCUAGAAGCCUCAAAUAAUUCUGCUUCUCUGUCUAAAGAACAACUUGUCCUUUACGUUCAGAGUGUUGGGGAAACUGGGUACUUAAAUGGCCCUAAAGAUGUUUUAAUUUUGCUGCUAUUGCAGAGAUGAACAUCAUACAUGGACUCUUUAGGUCUUAUCUACCAAAAAAAAUUUUAUCCAAUAGGAAAGGAUUUUCAUGUACUGGGAACACAACUAUCAACAAUGCAACAUUCUACAGGUGCUAGUUUAUCAUUCAAGAGCCUUAUACAAUGAAGUUAAUCUGCAAUUUGUAUGUCCUUUCCCAAGCUUCCACCAGAAGUUGAAUCUAUGAGUCAUGUAAGUUCCAUGAUCAACAAUUGAUGUGUUUAACGGUGUUGUUUUUCUUUUCUCAAUAUAGGUUAAUAGUAACAUUGGAUCUGAAAAGAUUCUUGGUUGGGGCAAGACACUGAAUAAAUUGUAUUGAUUGGAUGGAUGACAUGACAUUGCUAUACUUAAUUCGGAUUCCCCAGACGGUAUUUGAUAUUUAAAAAAUUGAAGUGCAUAUCUGGGCUCCCUUCUUUUCUGAAGCCCCGUUUCCCCUUGACUCAUAAUAAGCCCGUAGGGGGUCAUGCCCCUACUGUACGGUAUAUAUAAAAACAACAUAUACCGAGGUUUGGAGGGCUCUGGCCGGAAAGGGGACGUGGGGUGCCGCUUCGUCCGAUGAUGUGUUCACGGAGGGUGACGUGGCUGCCCACAAAUCCGAACUAAAGGUUAAUCGCUCCUGUAAAAAUGUUCCAAAUCUUCAGCUCUUCUUCCGGCUUCUCUUAGCCAAUCACCGGGUAAUCUCCCCGGUGGGUCAACAAGGCAGUGU
Molecule: long non-coding RNA, 1208 nt
Organism: Daphnia carinata
Lineage: Eukaryota; Metazoa; Arthropoda; Branchiopoda; Diplostraca; Daphniidae
Exons: 3
Source: RefSeq, a predicted model, not a curated record